GACGUAGGAGGCGAGCGUUAUCCGGAUUCAUUGGGCGUAAAGGGCAAGUAGGCGGUAGCUCAAGUUGGACGUGACAGUUCUCGGCUUAACUGAGAGAGGACGUUCAAAACUAGGUUACUAGAGGGCAGAAGAGGGAGGCGGAAUUCCUAAUGUAGCGGUGGAAUGCUCAGAUAUUAGGAAGAACACCAGUGGCGAAGGCGGCCUCCUGGUCUGGCCCUGACGCUGAGAGGCGAAAGCUAGGGGAGCAAACGGGAUUAGAUACCCCGGUA
Molecule: ribosomal RNA, 269 nt
Filed under: uncultured prokaryote
Description: partial 16S ribosomal RNA
Rfam family: Bacterial small subunit ribosomal RNA
Source: RNAcentral